AUGAUGAUGAAUGUCUGUGUUUGUGUAGAUGGCAAGAGCAGUGAUGAAGGCCUUUCCAGCUGUUCCAGACAUAAGGUUUGGAACAUCCAAAAAAGAAAUGGCAAAUGAGUGGCAAACAAUGGCUGUCCAGAUACUGAAAGCAUCAGUGUUCGAUGAAGCCAAUAACUGUGCCAUGUGCUCUAUGGCAAAGCCCAUUGGACCUGGGCCUCCUGUGACAAAAUGGAUCCAGUGUGACAGCUGUGUAAAAUGGUUCCAUGAAGAGGUCCUAGGCAUGGCUGAAGAAGACCUGAAACAGGCCAGAGCAGACAACUGGAACUGCAGCUUGUGCUGUUAAAUCCCUUUUGAAGAAAAGUUUAAAACACAAAAAAAUGCCUUUUUUGCUUAUUCAUUUAUUUAUUUAACAUAUCCACUUCUUAAUUUUGUAACUGUACUACAAAAAUUGUUGCUAC
Cyprinus carpio (common carp) is the source of this 449-nucleotide long non-coding RNA. The record is from Ensembl. Lineage: Eukaryota; Metazoa; Chordata; Actinopteri; Cypriniformes; Cyprinidae.